UGAUUUAAAAAGGCUAUACAAUAAAAGUACACAUUAGAAAUUAAAAAAAAAAAAAAGAAGAAAAAAGGUACAUAUAUCUGCAUAAAUUUGAUGUUUUUUUCUUCACUAGGACCAAAUAAACACUUGGCUUUUAUGGUUUCCAAAAAAUUUAGCUUAUGAUUCGUCAAUAAUUAAUCACAUAGAGCUCUAGAAAACAGCAGAC
RNAcentral lists this long non-coding RNA (202 nucleotides) under Panax ginseng (ginseng). RNAcentral describes it as "long non-coding RNA (PGIN_LNC008107)". Lineage: Eukaryota; Viridiplantae; Streptophyta; Magnoliopsida; Apiales; Araliaceae. The record is from RNAcentral.